This 460-nucleotide ribosomal RNA is filed under the name uncultured bacterium. Its description in RNAcentral is "partial 16S ribosomal RNA". It matches the Rfam family "Bacterial small subunit ribosomal RNA", at positions 338 to 795 of the family's 1533-position model. The record is from RNAcentral.
CCUACGGGAGGCAGCAGUGAGGAAUAUUGGUCAAUGGACGAGAGUCUGAACCAGCCAAGUAGCGUGAAGGAUGACUGCCCUAUGGGUUGUAAACUUCUUUUAUAAGGGGAUAAAACGAGGCACGUGUGCCUUUUUGCAGGUACUGUAUGAAUAAGGAUCGGCUAAUUCCGUGCCAGCAGCCGCGGUAAUACGGAGGAUCCGAGCGUUAUCCGGAUUUAUUGGGUUUAAAGGGAGCGUAGAUGGGUUGUUAAGUGUGUGGUGAAAGGUUGCGGCUCAACCGUGAAAUUGCAAUUGAUACUGGCAGUCUUGAGUACAGUUGAGGUAGGCGGAAUUCGUGGUGUAGCGGUGAAAUGCUUAGAUAUCACGAAGAACCCCGAUUGCGAAGGCAGCUUACUAAACUGUGACUGACAUUGAUGCUCGAAAGUGUGGGUAUCAAACAGGAUUAGAUACCCUAGUAGUC